UUGGUGUCUGGGAAACUGCCUGAUGGAGGGGGAUAACUACUGGAAACGGUAGCUAAAACCGCAUAACGUCGCAAGACCAAAGUGGGGGACCUUCGGGCCUCAUGCCAUCAGAUGUGCCCAGAUGGGAUUAGCUAGUAGGUGGGGUAACGGCUCACCUAGGCGACGAUCCCUAGCUGGUCUGAGAGGAUGACCAGCCACACUGGAACUGAGACACGGUCCAGACUCCUACGGGAGGCAGCAGUGGGGAAUAUUGCACAAUGGGCGCAAGCCUGAUGCAGCCAUGCCGCGUGUGUGAAGAAGGCCUUCGGGUUGUAAAGCACUUUCAGCGGGGAGGAAGGCGAUAAGGUUAAUAACCUUGUCGAUUGACGUUACCCGCAGAAGAAGCACCGGCUAACUCCGUGCCAGCACCGGCCGGUAAUUA
Molecule: ribosomal RNA, 421 nt
Filed under: Klebsiella pneumoniae
Lineage: Bacteria; Pseudomonadati; Pseudomonadota; Gammaproteobacteria; Enterobacterales; Enterobacteriaceae
Description: bacterial SSU rRNA
Rfam family: Bacterial small subunit ribosomal RNA
Source: RNAcentral